AUGGAUUCCAAGAUUUGCAGCCAAGAAGGCAAGCUGGGGCUCCAAUCUCCAUUGUUAUGGGCCACGCCCUGCUCGGCUGGGGAGCCACGCGUGUCCCUUCCUCCUUUGAGGGAGAGCGACAGACCGCCUGCCCCCCAUCACAUCCUCCCACCCAAUCUCUCACUCCUCCUGCUUUACCCAGAAGUGCUUUGCUCCGCGUGUGUGUUUCCGCAGGGUUUUCCUGCCGGGGAAGCGAGGAAGGAAGGAAGGAAGGAAGGAAGGAAGGAAGGAAGGAAGGAAGGAAAGAAAGGAGCUGCUUGGGCUCCAAGGGGCGCAUGCUCUCCCUGCCUCCUGGGCGCCUUCCUUGCUCGCUCGCUUCCACUCGCAGGGUUGGCUUUGUCUGUGCGGCUGGCCUUUGGGGACCGGAGGAAGAGGGGCAAUCAAAGGGAGGGGGGUCGGCUAGGAAGGCGGCGCUUGGUGUAUUGUUCGCGGGAAGGGCGGGAGCGACGUGCUCUUGCAAAGGAGGAGGAAGCCGAGCCCCUUCUCCUCCUCCUCCUGCUUCCUCCGCCGGCUGAAUGCGGGCUGCAGCUGCCUUCGGAGAGUGAGGGGCGCCUCUGGGGCCGAGGAGAGGGACAAGGGCGCCCCCGCUCCUCCUCCUCCUCCUCGGGCGCGCCAUGGCGUCAAGCGCGGAUUGCAAUUGAGAGAGAGAGCGAGAGAGGCGCUCAAUUUUGGGGAAAGACCACACAAAAGGGGGGCCUUCCCUUCCGACCGACCAACCCAGGCUUGCCCCUCUUUUGCAUAGGUCCUCCGUCCCUCCUCCUCGGCCUCCUCCCUCCCUUUCCUUUCCCUUCCCUCCGCCUCCAUCCCUCCAAUGGAGAAGAAGAAGAGUUGGAUCCCGGAGUGAAGAAAGCCAGAGCACAGAAAGGAAGAACAAGGAGGAGGAUCCACAUCUAUUUUUGGUCUCGGCGCUGCUUUUGUCUUGUGUCUUGUCCCCCCUACUCUGAUCUUUGCAUUAGGAAGGAAUUAAAAUAA
This 1011-nucleotide long non-coding RNA is filed under the name Anolis carolinensis (green anole). Its description in RNAcentral is "lncRNA (ENSACAG00000044467.1)". Lineage: Eukaryota; Metazoa; Chordata; Lepidosauria; Squamata; Anolidae. The record is from RNAcentral.